This 118-nucleotide ribosomal RNA is filed under the name Pteropus alecto (black flying fox). Lineage: Eukaryota; Metazoa; Chordata; Mammalia; Chiroptera; Pteropodidae. The record is from RNAcentral.
GUCUCCGGCCUGCCCCCCUGAACAUGCCUGAUCCCAUCUGAUCUCGGAAGCUAAGCACGGUCGGGCCUGGUUAGUUCUUAGAUGGGAGACCACCUAGGAAGACCAGGUGCUGUAGGUG